RNAcentral lists this unclassified non-coding RNA (240 nucleotides) under soil metagenome. RNAcentral's name for it is "partial contains 5.8S ribosomal RNA, internal transcribed spacer 2, and large subunit ribosomal RNA". The record is from RNAcentral.
AAGACUAUAGACCUGCGGAGUACCUGCGGAAGGAUCAUUACCAAUUUUAUAUAAUAGUUUGCCUGUGACGGACUAGUCUGUUACAGGUAUUAACUACUAUUGUAAACGUUGAACUAGAUCAAUUGGUGUGGAUUGCUUGGGAAUGGACGAAGCGACAAGCCUCUUCCGGACAGGCAAACCCCACACUGAUAACCUUUUCAAUAUAUACUACUAGUACAUACUACAAACAAACAAACAAAA